CCCCCUCCCACCUGCGGUCCCACCUGAGAGUCUCCCGGCCCCUGGCUCGUUACCGCCCGGCCACGCGGUCACCCACGCGCCGGGGCGUCCGAGCCGCUGAAUAAACCGCCGCGUAGAGUCGGCUCUCCAAGCCGCAGGGUACAGGGGUCCUCAGGGCUGCCUUUGUCGCACACCUGCGGGAUUAAUUCGCACGAGUGUCAGCACUGUCCUACAGCAGCAAUUCUCAGCGAGACUGAGCACAACAAGCCCUGGAAAGGGACUUACCCGAAUCAGGAAAUUCUGAACGACGCCUUCACCCGCUGAGGAUUUCUGCUCAGAGUUCUUUUUCUAGGAACAGCGUCCGCGUCCCGGGUGGAUGAUCUGAAGUCUGAUGCAUCGAAGAUGUUCUCUAUUCUCUUACGAAGCCUCGGCAACCUGGCGGCUUCUUCUGCUCACCCAUCCGACGUCCCCCCCCCCACCCUGCUGGCCAGGGGCGGGGUCCCCUCAGGGCUGUGCCCCUCGGCCCAGCCUCACUCUGAUACACUGACUCACGACACGCUGGGGGCCGCCUGUGUCACUCUGGGCUUUCUCUCUCCAUUAACUGGGAAUUUCUCAUUUUUUUAAAGUCACUUUGACUGAGGUGUAAUAUAUGUGCAUCAGAGUCCACCACCUUUAAUGUAUAAUUUGAUGAAUCUGGACACGUGUGUAUGCUGGUAUAAUUACCACCACAAUCAUCAUAUGGAACAUUCUCGUACUCCAGAAAUUUCCUUUACUAUGCAGUCAAAACCCUCCCAUGCCGACCAGGUCUCUGCCAGCCACUGAUGUUCUUUUUGUUACUACAGUAGAGAUGACUAUCUAGAAUAUGGUGAAAUCAUACCUAUCAUUAAUGCCUUUUCUUAACCGAGUACUACUCCAUUUUGUGGGUAUAUUACCUGCUGUCCAUUCAUUCACCAGUUCAUGAACGCUUGGAUUUUUCUGGGACUUGGCCAAAAUGAAUAAAACUGAGGUGAGUUUUGCA
Long non-coding RNA from Hyaena hyaena (striped hyena), 997 nucleotides. RefSeq lists it as uncharacterized. The transcript has 2 exons. The record is from RefSeq and is a predicted model, not a curated record. NCBI's taxonomy places the organism in Eukaryota, Metazoa, Chordata, Mammalia, Carnivora, Hyaenidae.